RNAcentral lists this ribosomal RNA (459 nucleotides) under uncultured bacterium. RNAcentral's name for it is "partial 16S ribosomal RNA". It matches the Rfam family "Bacterial small subunit ribosomal RNA", at positions 338 to 795 of the family's 1533-position model. The record is from RNAcentral.
CCUACGGGGGGCAGCAGUGAGGAAUAUUGGUCAAUGGGCGGAAGCCUGAACCAGCCAAGCCGCGUGAGGGAUGAAGGUACAGCGUAUUGUAAACUUCUUUUGUCAGGGGACAAAGGCAGGGACUAGUCCCUGGAUGAGGGUACUUGAAGAAAAAGCAUCGGCUAACUCCGUGCCAGCAGCCGCGGUAAUACGGAGGAUGCGAGCGUUAUCCGGAUUUAUUGGGUUUAAAGGGUGCGUAGGCGGCCUGUUAAGUCAGCGGUAAAAGCCCGGGGCGCAACCCCGGCGAGCCGUUGAAACUGGCUGGCUUGAGAGGGAGAGAGGUACGCGGAAUGCGCGGUGUAGCGGUGAAAUGCUUAGAUAUUGCGCAGAACCCCGAUUGCGAAGGCAGCAUACCGGCGGCGAACUGACGCUGAGGCACGAAAGCGUGGGUAUCGAACAGGAUUAGAUACCCCAGUAGUC